AUUGAACGCUGGCGGCAUGCUUUACACAUGCAAGUCGAACGGUAACAGGCCGCUAGGUGCUGACGUGAGGCGCACGGGGGAGUAAUGUACCGGAACGUGUCCAGGCGUGGGGGAUAUCUCCUCGAAAGAGUAGCUAAUAUCCCACACGCUUUCUGGAGGAAAACGGGGGAGCGUAUGGGCUCGCGCGAUUGGAGCGGCCGAUGUCUGAGUUGGUAGUUGGUGGGGUAAAGGCUCCCCAAGCCAACGAUCUGUAGCUGGUCUGAGAGGACAACCAGCCACACUGGAACUGAGACACGGCCCAGACUCCUACGGGAGGCAGCAGUGGGGAAUUUUGGACAAUGGGCGCAAGCCUGAUCCAGCAAUGCCGCGUGCGGGAAGAAGGCCUUCGGGUUGUAAACUGCUUUUAUUCGGGACGAAACGGCGCUGGUUAAUACCCUGGGCUAAUGACGGUACCGUAAGAAUAAGCACCGGCUAACUACGUG
RNAcentral lists this ribosomal RNA (482 nucleotides) under uncultured bacterium. RNAcentral describes it as "partial 16S ribosomal RNA". It matches the Rfam family "Bacterial small subunit ribosomal RNA", at positions 30 to 507 of the family's 1533-position model. The record is from RNAcentral.